This is a non-coding RNA of Pelobates cultripes (western spadefoot toad), 285 nucleotides long. The record is from the annotation of a GenBank genome assembly. NCBI's taxonomy places the organism in Eukaryota, Metazoa, Chordata, Amphibia, Anura, Pelobatidae.
GUGGAGAUGCGUGGGAGGUAAUUGUUACACCAUUGGAUACUGUACUGAUUAAUGUGGAUCCCUCCCUUGCAUGGGAGAAUGCUUUAAAAGGAGGUUGUGUGGAAUAAAAGUUAGUUCUGCUCCUUAUGCUGUGCGUCGUCCAGUCAUUGGGAUCUGUAUGGGAAUAUUCGUGGAUUACCUUGUUUGCUGGAAUUAUUACUUUAUGGGAUUUUUCAUCACUUGUUCCUGAGCCUCACUGGGAUCUGUAGUGGAGUUAACCUGUGGAAUAUCAGGCCUCCGGUACAA